This 219-nucleotide long non-coding RNA is filed under the name Elaeis guineensis (African oil palm). RNAcentral's name for it is "long non-coding RNA (EGUI_LNC049543)". Lineage: Eukaryota; Viridiplantae; Streptophyta; Magnoliopsida; Arecales; Arecaceae. The record is from RNAcentral.
UCAAUGGUAUAUUUUGUUUUAUGAUUGCUGUAUUCAGGGGGAGUAAACAUUAAUGUCAGUAAAAUUAAUGAUUAGUACAAGAAGUUUCAAGAAACAAAAAGAGAAAAUGCAUUCAAAAGAAAAGGGGGAGUUAACAAUGUUUGAUGAUGUCAAAAAGAGGGAGAAAUUAAAGAAAAGUAUCAAAAGCAAGAUUAAUAAAAGACUUAAAAACAAAAUGAG